This 253-nucleotide ribosomal RNA is filed under the name uncultured bacterium. RNAcentral describes it as "partial 16S ribosomal RNA". It matches the Rfam family "Bacterial small subunit ribosomal RNA", at positions 524 to 776 of the family's 1533-position model. The record is from RNAcentral.
GACGAACCGUGCGAACGUUGUUCGGAAUCACUGGGCAUAAAGGGCGCGUAGGCGGGCCGUAAAGUCAGGGGUGAAAUCCUCCAGCUUAACUGGAGAACUGCCUUUGAUACUGACGGCCUCGAGUGAGGUAGGGGCGUGCGGAACUGAUGGUGGAGCGGUGAAAUGUGUUGAUAUCAUCAGGAACUCCGGUGGCGAAAGCGGCACGCUGGACCUUUACUGACGCUGAGGCGCGAAAGCGUGGGGAUCAAACAGG